UAGGGAAUCUUCCGCAAUGGACGCAAGUCUGACGGAGCAACGCCGCGUGAGUGAAGAAGGUUUUCGGGUCGUAAAACUCUGUUGUUAGAGAAGAACAAGUGCUAGAGUAACUGUUAGCGCCUUGACGGUAUUUAACCNGAAAGCCACGGCUAANUACGUGCCAGCAGCCGCGGUAAUACGUAGGUGGCAAGCGUUGUCCGGAUUUAUUGGGCGUAAAGCGAGCGCAGGCGGUUCCUUAAGUUUGAUGUGAAAGCCCCCGGCUCAACCGGGGAGGGUCAUUGGAAACUGGGGAACUUGAGUGCAGAAGAGGAGAGUGGAAUUCCAUGUGUAGCGGUGAAAUGCGUAGAUAUAUGGAGGAACACCAGUGGCGAAGGCGACUCUCUGGCCUGUAACUGACGCUGAGGCUCGAAAGCGUGGGUAGCAAACAGGAUUAGAUACCCUGGUAGUCCACGCCGUAAACGAUGAGUGCUAAGUGUUGGAGGGUUUCCGCCCUUCAGUGCUGCAGUUAACGCAUUAAGCACUCCGCCUGGGGAGUACGACCGCAAGGNNG
Molecule: ribosomal RNA, 550 nt
Filed under: uncultured bacterium
Lineage: Bacteria
Description: bacterial SSU rRNA
Rfam family: Bacterial small subunit ribosomal RNA
Source: RNAcentral